UACGUAGGUGGCAAGCGUUGUCCGGAUUUACUGGGCGUAAAGAGCGCGCAGGCGGUCGUUCAAGUCGCGUGUGAAAGCCCCCGGCUCAACUGGGGAGGGUCACGCGAUACUGAUCGACUCGAAGGCAGGAGAGGGUAGUGGAAUUCCCGGUGUAGUGGUGAAAUGCGUAGAUAUCAGGAGGAACACCGGUGGCGAAGGCGGUUCUCUGGGCAUUACCUGACGCUGAGGAGCGAAAGUGUGGGGAGCGAACAGG
Molecule: ribosomal RNA, 253 nt
Filed under: uncultured bacterium
Lineage: Bacteria
Description: partial 16S ribosomal RNA
Rfam family: Bacterial small subunit ribosomal RNA
Source: RNAcentral